UUUUCUCAGCGUCUGGGCGAGCCCUGUUAAGAAUUUUAAGGAAGUCUGAAGUUUUCGUCCUCAUGCGAGUAUGGAUAUAAGUCUUGGAGCACUUGAUGUGGUAGUGCAAAUAAUCCCAGAAUGUGUGGAUAAGAUUAAUGGUAUUGUCUCAUGCAUUGGUGUUAGUAUGACGUGGAAAGAGCACAAAUGUGAUGUAUCCAAUAUUAUCACCCACAGCUGCAUCUGUGUCCUUUAAUUCCAUUGGAGGCUCUCG
This is a non-coding RNA of Pelobates cultripes (western spadefoot toad), 253 nucleotides long. Lineage: Eukaryota; Metazoa; Chordata; Amphibia; Anura; Pelobatidae. The record is from the annotation of a GenBank genome assembly.